RNAcentral lists this ribosomal RNA (305 nucleotides) under uncultured bacterium. RNAcentral's name for it is "bacterial SSU rRNA". It matches the Rfam family "Bacterial small subunit ribosomal RNA", at positions 335 to 657 of the family's 1533-position model. The record is from RNAcentral.
UUACCUACGGGGGGCAGCAGUGGGGAAUAUUGCACAAUGGGGGAAACCCUGAUGCAGCGACGCCGCGUGAGUGAUGAAGUAUUUCGGUAUGUAAAGCUCUAUCAGCAGGGAAGAUAAUGACGGUACCUGACUAAGAAGCUCCGGCUAAAUACGUGCCAGCAGCCGCGGUAAUACGUAUGGAGCAAGCGUUAUCCGGAUUUACUGGGUGUAAAGGGAGCGCAGACGGCAGGGCAAGUCUGAUGUGAAAGUCCGGGGCUCAACUCCGGGAGUGCAUUUGAAACUGUCCAGCUAGAGUGCAGGAGAGG